Brachypodium distachyon (stiff brome) is the source of this 414-nucleotide long non-coding RNA. RefSeq lists it as uncharacterized. The record is from RefSeq and is a predicted model, not a curated record. The transcript has 5 exons. Lineage: Eukaryota; Viridiplantae; Streptophyta; Magnoliopsida; Poales; Poaceae.
GCAGAGGGUUGCAUUACUUGAUUAUAUCCCCACCUUCCACAGAUUGUUGCUUUCCUAAUCCCACUUCUUGAUGACAAGUUUCCUCUUAUACGGAGUAUUACUUGUUGGACCCUCUCUCGAUAUAGCAAGUUCAUUGUUCAGAGCCUUGGCCAUCCGAAUGGUUGUGAACAAUUUGAUAAGAUUCUCAUAGGUUUGCUCAGAAGGAUAUUAGAUACCAACAAAAGAGUGCAGGAGGCUGCUUGUUCUGCGUUUGCAACACUGGAAGAGGAGGCUGCAGAAGAACUAGUGCCCCGACUGGAUAUUAUUCUGCAGCACCUCAUGUGUGCAUAUGGGAAAUACCAGAGGCGAAACCUUCGGAUACUCUAUGACGCUCUUGGUACUCUUGCUGAUGCUGUUGGAGCAGAGCUAUACCAG